AGGCUGCGAACUGCUCGUGGUGCAGGAACCCGGUGAGAGUCCGGGGCGGUUCCGCCACUGUGACGUCGACAAGACGCAGCCAGACACUGGCCAUGGGCUUAUCCCACCG
Molecule: non-coding RNA, 109 nt
Filed under: Tessaracoccus lapidicaptus
Lineage: Bacteria; Bacillati; Actinomycetota; Actinomycetes; Propionibacteriales; Propionibacteriaceae
Source: RNAcentral